RNAcentral lists this ribosomal RNA (253 nucleotides) under uncultured bacterium. RNAcentral describes it as "partial 16S ribosomal RNA". It matches the Rfam family "Bacterial small subunit ribosomal RNA", at positions 524 to 776 of the family's 1533-position model. The record is from RNAcentral.
UACGUAGGGUGCGAGCGUUAAUCGGAAUUACUGGGCGUAAAGCGUGCGCAGGCGGUUCGCUAAGACAGGUGUGAAAUCCCCGGGCUUAACCUGGGAAUGGCGCUUGUGACUGGCGGGCUGGAGUACGGCAGAGGGAGGUGGAAUUCCACGUGUAGCAGUGAAAUGCGUAGAGAUGUGGAGGAACACCGAUGGCGAAGGCAGCCUCCUGGGCCAGUACUGACGCUCAGGUGCGAAAGCGUGGGGAGCAAACAGG